Molecule: transfer RNA, 72 nt
Filed under: Marmota marmota marmota (Alpine marmot)
Lineage: Eukaryota; Metazoa; Chordata; Mammalia; Rodentia; Sciuridae
Also listed under: 1 other name
Rfam family: tRNA
About the family: Transfer RNA (tRNA) molecules are approximately 80 nucleotides in length. Their secondary structure includes four short double-helical elements and three loops (D, anti-codon, and T loops).
Source: Rfam by way of RNAcentral
GGUGUUGUGGCUCCGUGGUAGAGCACUCGCCUAGCAUGUGCAAGGUCCUGGGUUUGAUCCUCAGCAACACAU